This is a long non-coding RNA of Hemiscyllium ocellatum (epaulette shark), 497 nucleotides long. RefSeq lists it as uncharacterized. Lineage: Eukaryota; Metazoa; Chordata; Chondrichthyes; Orectolobiformes; Hemiscylliidae. The transcript is spliced from 3 exons. The record is from RefSeq and is a predicted model, not a curated record.
GUCUGUUCCGUCAGUCGGGGUGGAUGGUGUGUGGCUGGGUCUGGGAAGGGGGAUACAGUGUAACCCUCGGGUGGAUACAGUGUAACCCUCGGGUGGAUACAGUGUAACCCCCGGGUGGAUACAGUGUAACCCCCGGGUGGAUACAGUGUAACCCUCGGGUGGAUACAGUGUGAGAGCGGCCCGAGGCAGGGGAGCAAGUGGAUACAUUGUAACCCGGCCCCGGGGGACUCCGCGAACCCAUUACUGAUACUCCUGGAGAGGUCCUUCUCCCAUCUGGUUAAUUUUCCAGAUUUACCAGUCUCUCUCUCUCGCUGGGAUUUGUAUAAACCAGUUGCUGUCAUAAAAGAACACAGAUGUGUCUUCCUGAGCACCACUUGUCGAUGCUUUACAUUGAGUUGAAGAGCCCAGUGUGACCCCCUGGUCUUGUGAGAUGGGAGACCGCGACGAUAGAAGGGACAAAGGGACAGGGCCCAAAGGAGGUGUGAAUGGCACAGCAA